CGGCGGACGGGUGAGUAACACGUGGAUAACCUACCUAUAAGACUGGGAUAACUUCGGGAAACCGUAGCUAAUACCGGAUAAUAUUUUGAACCGCAUGGUUCAAAAGUAAAAGACGGUCUUGCUGUCACUUAUAGAUGGAUCCGCGCUGCAUUAGCUAGUUGGUAAGGUAACGGCUUACCAAGGCAACGAUGCAUAGCCGACCUGAGAGGGUGAUCGGCCACACUGGAACUGAGACACGGUCCAG
Molecule: ribosomal RNA, 244 nt
Filed under: uncultured Staphylococcus sp.
Lineage: Bacteria; Bacillati; Bacillota; Bacilli; Caryophanales; Staphylococcaceae
Description: partial 16S ribosomal RNA
Rfam family: Bacterial small subunit ribosomal RNA
Source: RNAcentral